GCAAACUUGGUCAUUUAGAGGAAGUAAAAGUCGUAACAAGGUUUCCGUAGGUGAACCUGCGGAAGGAUCAUUAACGAAGCUGAUAGGGAUAGAAGAGCAUGGGGCCACAUGAAAAUGUAGCCCCAGUUCUUUAUCCCAUUUCUCCUCACACACGUGCUCCUGCUUGGUUGGGUGUAUGUUAUCUUUUUAACACACUUGACCAUUCUAUGCAGAUUUAUUUUCUUCGAACGAUUGUUUGGAAAUUGUCUGAAAAUAGAAGGAAUAAUUGUGCCUUUGGGUGCGAUGCCUUCGCAAUUAAAAAAUCAAAACUAUGAGCAACGGAUCUCUAGGCUCUUGCAUCGAUGAAGAACGCAGC
This 355-nucleotide unclassified non-coding RNA is filed under the name uncultured fungus. RNAcentral's name for it is "partial contains small subunit ribosomal RNA, internal transcribed spacer 1, and 5.8S ribosomal RNA". The stretch from base 1 to 73 matches the Rfam family "Eukaryotic small subunit ribosomal RNA", at positions 1759 to 1831 of the family's 1831-position model. The record is from RNAcentral. Lineage: Eukaryota; Fungi.